GAUGAACGCUGGCGGCGUGCUUAACACAUGCAAGUCGAACGAGAAGUGGAGACGGAAACCUUCGGGCGGAAGACUUUAUUUCGAGUGGCGGACGGGUGAGUAACGCGUGGGUAACCUGCCUCAUACAGGGGGAUAACAGUUGGAAACGACUGUUAAUACCGCAUAAGACCACAGCACCGCAUGGUGCGGGGGUAAAAACUCCGGUGGUAUGAGAUGGACCCGCGUUCGAUUAGCCAGUUGGCGGGGUAACGGCCCACCAAAGCGACGAUCGAUAGCCGAUCUGAGAGGAUGACCGGCCACAUUGGGACUGGGACACGGCCCAAACUCCUACGGGAGGCAGCAGUGGGGAAUAUUGCACAAUGGGGGAAACCCUGAUGCAGCGACGCCGCGUGAGUGAAGAAGUAUUUCGGUAUGUAAAGCUCUAUCAGCAGGGAAGAAAAUGACGGUACCUGAGUAAGAAGCCCCGGCUAACUACGUG
This 478-nucleotide ribosomal RNA is filed under the name uncultured bacterium. Its description in RNAcentral is "partial 16S ribosomal RNA". It matches the Rfam family "Bacterial small subunit ribosomal RNA", at positions 28 to 507 of the family's 1533-position model. The record is from RNAcentral.